This is a transfer RNA of Ipomoea nil (Japanese morning glory), 74 nucleotides long. It matches the Rfam family "tRNA". From Rfam's summary of the family: Transfer RNA (tRNA) molecules are approximately 80 nucleotides in length. Their secondary structure includes four short double-helical elements and three loops (D, anti-codon, and T loops). Further hydrogen bonds mediate the characteristic L-shaped molecular structure. tRNAs have two regions of fundamental functional importance: the anti-codon, which is responsible for specific mRNA codon recognition, and the 3' end, to which the tRNAs corresponding amino acid is attached (by aminoacyl-tRNA synthetases). tRNAs cope with the degeneracy of the genetic code in two manners: having more than one tRNA (with a specific anti-codon) for a particular amino acid; and 'wobble' base-pairing, i.e. permitting non-standard base-pairing at the 3rd anti-codon position. The record is from Rfam. Lineage: Eukaryota; Viridiplantae; Streptophyta; Magnoliopsida; Solanales; Convolvulaceae.
GCUCUUGUAGCUCAGUUGGUUAGAGCACUCGUUUAGUAAGUGGGAGGUCUUGAGUUCAACUCUCAACAAGAGCA